GGUUCCAUAGUGUAGCGGUUAGCACGUCUGCUUUACAUGCAGAAGAAAUGUGGUUUGUACCCCAGUGGAGCCA
This 73-nucleotide transfer RNA is filed under the name Pteropus alecto (black flying fox). It matches the Rfam family "tRNA". From Rfam's summary of the family: Transfer RNA (tRNA) molecules are approximately 80 nucleotides in length. Their secondary structure includes four short double-helical elements and three loops (D, anti-codon, and T loops). The record is from Rfam by way of RNAcentral. Lineage: Eukaryota; Metazoa; Chordata; Mammalia; Chiroptera; Pteropodidae.